This 819-nucleotide long non-coding RNA is filed under the name Scleropages formosus (Asian bonytongue). RNAcentral describes it as "lncRNA (ENSSFOG00015030574.1)". Lineage: Eukaryota; Metazoa; Chordata; Actinopteri; Osteoglossiformes; Osteoglossidae. The record is from RNAcentral.
GCACGAUCGCGAUGCGCCUCUUCCUCCAAAGGUUGUUCAUGCCAAGAGGAUAGAGAAGACCAACCUGCUGUUUGUGGUGGCCGAGACCCCCUGCAAGUCGUGCGAGAUGGAGAAGCUGGCUCAGGUGAAGACCGAGUUCCAGGAAGAGAACCCGUGUGAGCUGCUGAGCUUGGCGCGCUACAGGAGAGGGCCGUCCACCUGCUUCGACUACAACGUCCAGGAGAACACCUCCGAAUGUGGGCGGGGCUUCUCUCUGCGACCACCGUCGGCUGUCCUCCUGUGUCUUCAGCUCAUCUGCUCUGCCUGUCCACCUCUCUCUAGAUUUUGGCCCCUCCAAACGUUGGCCUCUUUUAGCACAGAUUCCUCUCCCCUGUCCUCCGUGGUCCAAGCAUUAGCGUUCUCACCGCCCGUACAUAACCGUGACCGUACAUCACUGACUGUACAUCAGCGGUCCUGAGCCCAGUUUAGUCACACCUUUCCCUUCCCUCUACGAGUGAACUGGGAUGAAGCAGCACAAACGUACGUGUCGGACAAAUCACUGUCGGUCUGUCUCACAAGGGUGUUUUGCCGGCGUACAAAGACGACCGACUGUGCUACCGUUCAGCGGUGAGGAAUAUAUGAAGAUCCACUAUUGUAUAAUAUGAAUGAUAGACGUGAAUGGGUGGAAUGGCAGCAAACGACAGAAAAACACCUGCAUGCUGUGGGUCUCUGGGAGUUUGUUUCAUCAACAGGGAGUCACGUCCUUUUUGGGCUGAGACCCCUCUGCCAAACAUUGUGGAUACAAAUAAAUAUGUCAGUGGUAGGAUAAUGUAAUAUGAA